UUUACUAGUGGCGGACGGGUGAGUAACGCGUGGGUAACCUGCCUUAUACAGGGGGAUAACAGUCAGAAAUGGCUGCUAAUACCGCAUAAGCGCACAGGACCGCAUGGUCCGGUGUGAAAAACUCCGGUGGUGUGAGAUGGACCCGCGUUUGAUUAGCUAGUUGGUGGGGUAACGGCCUACCAAGGCGACGAUCAAUAGCCGACCUGAGAGGGUGACCGGCCACAUUGGGACUGAGACACGGCCCAAACUCCUACGGGAGGCAGCAUG
RNAcentral lists this ribosomal RNA (267 nucleotides) under uncultured bacterium. RNAcentral describes it as "partial 16S ribosomal RNA". It matches the Rfam family "Bacterial small subunit ribosomal RNA", at positions 88 to 353 of the family's 1533-position model. The record is from RNAcentral.